AUUUAUAUAGUUUAUGAAAAACAUUACACUUUCACUGUAAAGACAAAGAAAACUUUUAUAAAUA
Molecule: transfer RNA, 64 nt
Filed under: Cyrilliotermes sp. BRA012
Lineage: Eukaryota; Metazoa; Arthropoda; Insecta; Blattodea; Termitidae
Also listed under: 1 other name
Description: tRNA-Glu
Rfam family: tRNA
About the family: Transfer RNA (tRNA) molecules are approximately 80 nucleotides in length. Their secondary structure includes four short double-helical elements and three loops (D, anti-codon, and T loops).
Source: RNAcentral